AGUGAACGCUGGCGGUAGGCCUAACACAUGCGAGUCGAACGGCAGCACAGUAAGAGCUUGCUCUUACGGGUGGCGAGUGGCGGACGGGUGAGGAAUACAUAGGAAUCUACUUUUUCGUGGGGGAUAACGUAGGGAAACUUACGCUAAUACCGCAUACGACCUACGGGUGAAAGCAGGGGAUCUUCGGACCUUGCGCGAUUGAAUGAGCCGAUGUCGGAUUAGCUAGUUGGCGGGGUAAAGGCCCACCAAGGCGACGAUCCGUAGCUGGUCUGAGAGGAUGAUCAGCCACACUGGAACUGAGACACGGUCCAGACUCCUACGGGAGGCAGCAGUGGGGAAUAUUGGACAAUGGGCGCAAGCCUGAUCCAGCCAUACCGCGUGGGUGAAGAAGGCCUUCGGGUUGUAAAGCCCUUUUGUUGGGAAAGAAAAGCAGCAGGUUAAUACCCCGCUGUUCUGACGGUACCCAAAGAAUAAGCACCGGCUAACUUCGUG
This 492-nucleotide ribosomal RNA is filed under the name uncultured bacterium. RNAcentral's name for it is "partial 16S ribosomal RNA". It matches the Rfam family "Bacterial small subunit ribosomal RNA", at positions 29 to 507 of the family's 1533-position model. The record is from RNAcentral.